RNAcentral lists this ribosomal RNA (467 nucleotides) under uncultured bacterium. RNAcentral describes it as "partial 16S ribosomal RNA". It matches the Rfam family "Bacterial small subunit ribosomal RNA", at positions 28 to 507 of the family's 1533-position model. The record is from RNAcentral.
GAUGAACGCUGGCGGCGUGCUUAACACAUGCAAGUCGAACGGAAAGGCCCAAGCUUGCUUGGGUACUCGAGUGGCGAACGGGUGAGUAACACGUGGGUGAUCUGCCCUGCACUUCGGGAUAAGCCUGGGAAACUGGGUCUAAUACCGGAUAGGACCACUUCUUGGAUGUUUUGGUGGAAAGUUUUUUCGGUGUGGGAUGAGCUCGCGGCCUAUCAGCUUGUUGGUGGGGUAAUGGCCUACCAAGGCGUCGACGGGUAGCCGGCCUGAGAGGGUGUACGGCCACAUUGGGACUGAGAUACGGCCCAGACUCCUACGGGAGGCAGCAGUGGGGAAUAUUGCACAAUGGGCGCAAGCCUGAUGCAGCGACGCCGCGGGGGGGAUGACGGCCUUCGGGUUGUAAACUCCUUUCGCUAGGGACGAAGCGUUUUGUGACGGUACCUGGAGAAGAAGCACCGGCUAACUACGUG